GUGAGGAAUUUUCCGCAAUGGGCGAAAGCCUGACGGAGCAAUGCCGCGUGAAGGAUGAAGGCCUAUGGGUUGUAAACUUCUUUUCUCAGAAAAGAAUUAUGACGGUAUCUGAGGAAUAAGCAUCGGCUAACUCUGUGCCAGCAGCCGCGGUAAGACAGAGGAUGCAAGCGUUAUCCGGAAUGAUUGGGCGUAAAGCGUCUGUAGGUUGUUUAAAAAGUAUUCUGUUAAAGAUUAGGGCUUAACCCUAGAUAGGCAGAAUAAACUUUUAAGCUAGAGUUUGGUAGAGGCAGAGGGAAUUCCCGGUGGAGCGGUGAAAUGCGUAGAUAUCGGGAGGAACACCAAAGGCGAAGGCACUCUGCUGGGCCAAUACUAACACUGAGAGACGAAAGCGAGGGGAGCAAAUGGGAUUAGAAACCCGGGUAGUCC
This 426-nucleotide ribosomal RNA is filed under the name uncultured bacterium. RNAcentral's name for it is "partial 16S ribosomal RNA". It matches the Rfam family "Bacterial small subunit ribosomal RNA", at positions 354 to 796 of the family's 1533-position model. The record is from RNAcentral.